AGAAAGCCCAAUUCCAUCUGGCCCCUGCAGGUUGGCUCAGCACUGGGGAAUCAGAGUCCCCUCCAUGACCAAGGCACCACUCCACUGACAGGUAUGGUAUCCAUUUGCCCUCUCUUCUUGGAUUCUCAAGCUGGGGCAGAGUCCAUGGCAGCCAAGGGUGGCUUGGAUCUGCCCAUCCCAUUCUCUUCAGACCCUCCUCAGGGAUUAAGGUCAAAGGUGGGAGGAAGAAGGCUUCCAUUGGCCUUUUAUCCUAGAGGUUCUAAUGGAGGGGAAAAGGGGAUAGGAUAUUUUCUAUCCAAUCAGGAUGUUUAGGAGAUAGUCACAUGGAAGUGGAAUGGCCUUUGGACCCAGGAGUCAGGAAACCUGAGUAGCAGUCCUGGUUUUACCAUUUACCCAAUGUGUAUCUUUGGGUAAGUCCUUUCUCCAAUCUAGGACACAGUUUUUUCACCCCUUUUGCAAAAUAAAAAAGUAAAAAGAGGAAAAGAAUGAUUAGAUAGAUGCUGUCUAGAGACCCAUGGUUAUUAGAUUCCUAAUUUUCAUGAUUGUCAGCCCUCUGUCAAGAAAGAAGAUGAGAGUAAUCUUUGCAUAUGUAACUGUGGGUGGGGCUGAACACAUUCAAGAGGAGAGUGCUGGUGGUAAUCCAUAUAGCACUCUCUGAGAGGCAUGACUCAAAGAUGAAAGCCUCUUUUCUAGUCCAAUCUUUGACUCCUAGAGAUUCAAAAUUGAAAGACUCUUAGAGACUAGGUACAUAUGGAAGAAACUGAGGUCCAGAAAGAGGAAGAAAGGGACUUGCCCAAAGUCAUACAGAGAAUCUGUAGCACAGCUGGGUCUGGGCUCCCAGGUCAGUCCUCUUUUUGCUCUAUCCUAGGAGGACUGAGACAUCAAGCAGCAGGACCUGUCCUGUAACUGACCCAGGACAGGUCCUGCUCAUACUAGAGGCAGUCUGGGAUUUUUAGGCAUGGUCCUGAGGACUUCUUCUUUUCUUCUAUUUUUCUUUCAGGUACUUGGCUCACUCUGAGUGUUCAGAGAUUCCUAGACACCUACUUACCCCUAAUUCUUCUGGUCUAUUCCCUCCAAUUCCCUCCAUAAAAACUGACCCAUCCUUUGCAUCAACAAUAGUGGCUUGAUGACGCUCUUCAGUAGAGGAUUUUGCAUUUCAUAUGGGGAAAAAUGAUGUUAUUCUAAGUAAUAUAACAGACCAAGAGAAGAGCUUUCAAAUUCCCUUAAUAUCAUCCCAUAUAGAUAUUUAUGUCUUCUUUCUAUGGGUCUGGUGAACAUUUCUCAACUGAAUGUGAUUUUCUUACAUACACUCCAUUGGAGAGGCAUACCAGUCUAGUUUCAGCUCAACCACUAACUCCUUCCAUUAAUACUGAAGCAAUGUUGUCUAUAAGGCUCCACAAAUUUCAAAGUACUAAUAAUUUUUAGCCCCUUUCAUGCCUCCUUUCCAGCCUUUCUGGAGGUGAAUAAAGUCAGAAAGUGCAUUCAAAAGGCUGUGAACACCUCCAGCUUAUCUAGGUCUUCUUACUGGAGCUGACAGCCAAUGAGUGUAAUGAUACAAAAAAGGUAACAAUCCAUUUCUUUUUCUCCUGCCAUCCCCAACUCAGACUCUGUUAAUCAGCUUGCUUGGCUGGCCUCCAACCAUAGGUCCAGGGGCUGAGACAAGGUCCUUUUGAGCUCCUAUGUGGGAGGCUCUGGAAAGCUUAGCAACACUUUCCAACAACUUUGCCAGGUAAGUAGGUAAGUCUCCUUGUUCUCAUUUCCAGAGAAGACAACUGAAACCCAAAGAAAGACUUGCCCAAGCCAUGAUUGGCUAGUUGAUGGCCAAGACAGCAUUAGAACACAAGUUUGUCGAUUCUGUCAUGCCAUAUUUGGUGACCAUGACUGCUGCUUUUGCUGCUGGGUGGAUUAGGCUGAAUUGGGUAGGUAGAAAAGGAAGUGAGGGAGUGAAAGAGCUUUAGUUUUGAGAUGACUGCCAGAACUUAAAUUGAAGGAGUAUGUUACCUUCUUAACAUUCAAUUAAAAGAAUAGAGCAAGAAAAGACACUGAUUGUUUUCUUGCUGAAAGACAAGGCUGAAUCCCUCUGUCUUACCUGGGCUGGGACAGGGCUUUCCGGCCUCAUGGGGGCAGUUUACCAUUUCUGGUAACCUUGUGAUGUUUGCCACUUUUCAUGACAAUAUUUAAUGUAGACCAGCUACCUGCUCACAGAUCAACUGCCACAGCUGGUAAGGGCAGUAAUUUGACACCAGCAACCUGGGAUUUUUAGCAACAGGAUCUGAUUGUUGCCAAGGGAAUUCUCCCAGAAGUUUCAGACCUGACCCUGCUCCUGGCAGCUUCCUUAUUGCCCUGGUGGCUUGUGGGUUCAGUGAUCCCAAAUGUUGCAUUACAAAGCUAUUGCCUGUUUUUGCCCUCUUUGUUGAUGUGUCUUCCCUUUCCCAGAGGGAUAUACAGAGAAGGGAGGCAAAAUAACCAAUGAGGAAAGCUGUAUAAGGCAUACUGCUGAACUGUAAAAAAUUUAUUGUAUAAACUUUACAAGUCUCCUCCCCAACAGGAGCCUUUGUUAUCUCAUUUAUAACCUAAGUGAGUGAGACUAGAUGAUCUUUAAGGGCACUUUAAUAGCUGCCAUUCUUGAGUCCCUAUGGGACAAGAGGAUCAUGUUAGGCAAGGCUGAGACCACAAGAAAUCAAUGUCACACCUGUCCAGAUCCUGCUAAAUCAAUUGCCAAUAGCUCUUUCUUUCAUUUUGGUCACACAACCACUACUUUUUGAGCAUUUGUUAUGUAUUGAAUACUGAACCAAAGGCUUUACAUGCAUUAUCUCCUGUCAUUCUCACAAUAACCUUAUGAGGUAGGUAUUAUACUUACAUACAUUUUGUGGGUGUAGAAAACUUGAGCUCAGAGAGGUGAAAUGAUGUAUCCAAGGUUGCCUAACUAGCUAAUGGAAGAACUAGGAUUUAAGCUCAUGUUUAACCUCAAAGCCUAUGUGCAUAACCACAACACUGAAAACACAGCUUGGGAGAAUUGAGAAGAGGGAGCAAGGAUGCUGACUCUAGGGUCUGGUACUUUCCUCAAGUCAGGGAGGCAGGAUGAUGACCAAAUUUUCCCCUCUCUGCUGCAUAGAGGAACCCACUGAAGCUUGGGACCCCUAGAAAUGCCAUAGCUACAGGACUCAGGCCUGAUGAGCUUCCAGCUGAGCACUGGGUGUCACUCGGGCUUUACCUGCUUAUCUUCAGGAUCUCUCUUCUGGGUCACAUCUCCCAGGAAGAUCUCACUUCCCCACAGAAGCUCUUGGCCUGGCCUCCUGCAGUGCCACGCUCCGUGUAUUUGACAAGCUGAGUUGGACACUCCAUGUGGUAGAGUGUCAGUUUGUCAAAUACCCCAAGUGCGGCACAUGCUUACCAGCUCUAGGCCAGGGCAGAUGGGAUAUGACGAAUGGACUGCCAGCUGGAUACAAGGAUGCUCACCAAGCACCAAGUUCUCACAAGUUAUUUUAUGUGACUUUGCAGGAACUGAGGCAUUAUAUCUGAGGACACC
RNAcentral lists this long non-coding RNA (3529 nucleotides) under Homo sapiens (human). RNAcentral's name for it is "HSALNT0407752". The stretch from base 3289 to 3394 matches the Rfam family "mir-223 microRNA precursor family". The record is from RNAcentral. Lineage: Eukaryota; Metazoa; Chordata; Mammalia; Primates; Hominidae.